UUCGUGUGGAACACCGGCGCCAUAGAGGGUGAUAGCCCCGUAGGAGAAGCGGUGAAAGAUGAUUUUCAGAAUCCAAGAGUAGCGUGCAUUGGAUAUUGCGCGUGAAUACGGGAGGUACUAACUCCCAACCCUAAAUACAAACCGAGACCGAUAGCGCAAUAGUAGCGUGAGCGAAAGUUGUAAAGUAUCCCUGACGGGAGAUUAAUAAGACCCUGAAAUCAGGUGGUAACAGACUGGUAUGGCAUGCAAGGGAUUAAGCGGUUACACCGCCGCACCGAUGUCAUACCGUUCGAUUCGAAAAUUGAUCCGUGGAGUUCCUAUUAUUGGCGAGGUUAAGUACGCAGGUACGAAGCCGUAGGGAAACCGAUAGCCCGCAGCGCAAGCGAGGGGCAAGGUGCGCUCGCCUGGAGUCAAUAGUUGGAUACCCGAAGCCGGUCGAUCUAUGCCUGGGCAGGGUGAAGCCUUUCGGAAGAAGGGUGGAGGCCCGAACCAGUACUGAUGUGCAAAUCGUUUGGAUGACCUGGGUAUAGGGGCGAAAGACCAAUCUAGACCGGUAAUAGCUGGUUCCUCUCGAAACUGCUCGCAGGCAGACCUCAGCAGAGACGGGGCAUGCGGUAGAGCACUGAUUGCGUGUUUAGGAAGCGAAAGUUUUCGGCAUGCUGUCAAACUCCGAAUGUGUGUCCGUCGUAGAAGCUGGGCAGUGAGGGCAUCGGGGUAAGCUUGAUGUCCAUAAGGAAAACAAACCAGACCAGAGUUAAGGUCCCCAAGUAACAGCUAAGUGUUAAAGAACAAAUAGUGUUUAACGGCAUAGACAGCUGGAAGGUUGGCUUAGAGGCAGCCAUCCUUUAAAGAGUUCGUAACAGAUCACCAGUCAAGUUCUUGAGCCUAGAAAAUGGACGGGACUAAGUUGUUCACCGAUACUUUGGGCCACCGAAAGGUGAUGCGGUAGAGAGGCGUCGUGCGCGGGUGGAAGUGGGGCCGUGAGGUCCUGUGGACCGCGUUCGAAUGAUAAUCAUGGAAAUAGUAGUAGCGUAGAUGGGUGAGAAUCCCAUCCGCCGGAGGGGCUAGGGUUCCUCGACGAUGUUCAUCAGUCGAGGGUUAGUCGGUCCUAAGGUUCCCCCUAACAGGAGGAAUCGAAAGGGAAGCAGGUUAAAAUUCCUGCACCAAUUCAUAUUUUGUCCAGUUCCUGACACAUCGGGUCUUGUGGAGCACUCUUGUCUGAGUGUUGCCUUAAGCGAUAAAUCCGUGGAGUACCGUAAUGGUGAGAAUCGGACUAAGCUUUUGGGAGGCGGAGUAUUUCGCUUCUGCGUUAGCCUGGUGUCCGUGAAAAGGGAGCUGGAGUCGUAUGAGUUGUCCGUACCGAGAUCUGACACAGGUGCCCCUAGGUGAGUAGCCUAAGGCGUCGCGGCAGAAUCCGGGCGAGGGAAUUCGGCAAAUUAGCCCCGUACCUUUGGUAUAAGGGGUGCCAGCUCUGAAGAGAGCUGGUCGCAGUGACUAGGGAGCUCCGACUGUUUACUAAAAACACAGGUGGCUGCUAGUCCGUAAGGAUGAGUAUAGCCGCUGAAUCCUGCCCAGUGGUGGUAUCUGAAACCCUGUUUCAACUGGACGAAGGACCACUAAACGGCGGGGGUAACUAUGACCCUCUUAAGGUAGCGUAAUACCUUGUCGCUUAAUUGGCGACUUGCACGAACGGCCUAACGAGAGCUCUACUGUCCCCGCCCGGAGCCCGAUGAAAUUGACUUACUGGCGCACAGUCCAGUACGUCCCAGCCGCAAGCGAAGACCCCGUGGAGCUUUACUGCAACCUGCCGUUGUGGCACGAGUUGUUAUGUGUAGCGUAGACGGGAGACAUUACACAGGUGCGAGCGCUAGCUCGUCGCCGAGUCACCGAUGAAACACCGUCCUUUUCGAUUCGUCCCACUCACCUCUUCGGAGGAACCCCGGUAGGCGGGCAGUUUGGGUGGGGCGCCACUCCCUCGAAAAAAUAACAAGGGAGCCCAAAGGUCAGCUUAGGUAGGUCAGGAAUCUACCGUUAAGUGCAAGGGCAAAAGCUGGCUUGACGUGGUUUGGCAACACAACAAACCACGAUGCGAAAGCAGGGCCUAGCGAACCAACCAGCGCCGUUAGUAGGUGCGGUUGAUAACAGAAAAGUUACCCCGGGGAUAACUGAGUUGUCUGGAGCAAGAGCCCACAUCGACCUCCAGGCUUGCUACUUCGAUGUCGUCUCUUCCUAUCCUGGGUGUGCAGAAGCACCCAAGGGUGGGGUUGUUCGCCCAUUAAAAGGGAUCGUGAGA
This 2293-nucleotide ribosomal RNA is filed under the name marine metagenome. Its description in RNAcentral is "bacterial LSU rRNA". It matches the Rfam family "Archaeal large subunit ribosomal RNA", at positions 332 to 2674 of the family's 2987-position model. The record is from RNAcentral.